Molecule: long non-coding RNA, 517 nt
Organism: Pezoporus occidentalis (night parrot)
Lineage: Eukaryota; Metazoa; Chordata; Aves; Psittaciformes; Psittacidae
Exons: 3
Source: RefSeq, a predicted model, not a curated record
GUGCUGUGCUUGCUAAAUGCUUACAUGUUUCAUGAGGAGAUUAGAAAAAUUCAUAGAAUAGCAAGUGACUGUGGAUUAUUAAAUACUGACAAGCCACUUCUGCUUAGAGGAAACUCCUAAACCACACAUUAUUCAAGGCUAACAUAGUACUCAGUAGAAGUGUCCUUGACUUCUUUUUACACUUAACUCUAGCCAUUCAUUUUGGUUAUCUUUGGAGAAAAGAUGUCAUUCUUGUUGCAGUGAGUAUGGCUGCUGUCCUGAGUGAAAAAUUUUCAUCAGUAAAAGCUACUCACUUUGCUGUUUGUGUAUGCCUGCACUGCACAAAUACGUAUGUGAAAUGAAGCAAAUUCAAAAUUUUGGUGAAAUCAGGUGAAGCAAAGUUUUGACCAACCUACAGCAUCAACUACUGGCAAGACUCUAUGAUACAAUCCUCUUGAUUGAAGCCUACAUGAGUUCAAAACUGACAAAAAGGAUAAUCUAUUUCAAAUACAUUCCAAGCAGCAAAAAAUCAAAAAUG